RNAcentral lists this ribosomal RNA (294 nucleotides) under uncultured bacterium. Its description in RNAcentral is "partial 16S ribosomal RNA". It matches the Rfam family "Bacterial small subunit ribosomal RNA", at positions 28 to 297 of the family's 1533-position model. The record is from RNAcentral.
AGCGAACGCUGGCGGCGUACCUAACACAUGCAAGUCGAACGGGGGUCAUCGGGUUAGCAAUAGUUCGGUGGUCCUAGUGGCGCACGGGUGAGUAACACGUGGGCAACCUGCCCUAGAGAUCGGGAUACCCCCUCGAAAGGGGGGCUAAUACCGGAUACGUUCCCCGGUCGAAAGGACCGUCGAGGAGGAAAGGGUAGGCGCAAGCUGCCGCUCUUGGUAGGGGCGUCGCGGCCUAUCAGCUAGUUGGUGGGGUAACGGGCCCGACCAAGGCUAUGACGGGUAGCUGGUCUGAGA